CCAGGAUGGUCUGAAGGAGGAGAGGCUGUUUCUUCUUAAAGCUUUCAAGUGGUGUAUAAGUCCCUUUAUGCUGCUAUAAAGGAAUACCCAAGACUGGGUAACUUACAAAGAAAAGAGAUUUAUUUGGCUCAUUGUUCUGCUGGCUAUACAUGAAGCAUAAUGCCAGCAUUUGCUCUGGUGAGGGCCUCAAGAAGCUUAUAAUCAUGGAAGAAGGAGAUGGAGAGCCAGCAUGUCACAUGGAAGCGUGAGAGGAAGCAAGAGAGAGGGGGGAGGAGGUGCUAGGUUGUUUUAAACAACCAGUUCUCUUGUGAACUCAGAGAAAACUCACUCAUUACUGUGAGGACAGCAGCGGCAAGUCAUUCAUGAGGCAUCCACCCCCAUGACUCAAACACCUCCCACUAGGCCCACCUCCAACACCGGAGGCCACAUUUCAACAUGUGAUUUGGAGGGGACAAGCAUCCAAUCCAUAUCAGGUGGGGAAGGUCAGGAGGUGGACAACAGAAUCAUUGUUGCCCAGUUUAGGACUUCUCAAAUUUUAGUGUACAUGGAAAUCACUGGAGUUCUCAUUAAAAUGCAAAUUCUGAUUCCAUAGGUCUGGGAGUGAAGUCAGUGGGUAGAAGAGCUGAUUCAGCAUUGCCAAGGCAUUCCCAGGUGAUCCAGUAUGGCUGGUCUUUGGACCACACUGAGUAGCAAGGCCUUAAAUAAUUUGUAUGUCUUGUGUUUCCUGUUUCAAGCUGAUGCACGAUGUUAGUAGGAUGAGGAAUACAUUUUAUAAGCUAUCCCCCUAUCUGUCAGAAAUGAAGAAUGAAUAAGUAAUGAUUGCAAAGCAUAUGAAAAAUCAUGAGGUCACACAUUCUGUCUUCUGAAUUAACACUUCAAGCAGAUCUGGUUUUUCUCAUGAGAUUGCAAAGCAACUGUUUAUUUGAGCAUCCUCUCCCCUCCCCUCCCCCUCCGCCUCCCCUCCCCUCCCCCUCUGCCUCCUCUCCCCUCUCCCUCCGCCUCCCCUCCCUUCCCUCUCUGCCUCCCCCACCUCCUCCCCUCCCCUCUUUUCUUUUCUCUUUUCUUUUCUUUUUUUCUUUCUUUUCAUCUUAGUCUGUUGCCCAGGCUAGCUCGCUCACUACAGCCUCCACCUCCUGGGUUCAAGCGAUUCUCAUGCCUCAGCCUCCCGAGUAGCUGGGACUACAGGUGUAUGCCACCACACCCGGCUAAUUUUUGUAUUUUUAGUAGAGACAGGUUUUUACCAUGUUGGCCAUGCUGGUCUCAAACUCCUGACCUUAAGUAAGCCGCCUGCCUCAGCCUCCCAAAGUGCUGGGAUUACAGGCAUGAGCCACCAUGCUCAGCCUAUUUGAGGUUAUUUUUCAUUGGUGGGCAUCACGUUCUAUACCACAUUUAUGCAGGAACACAGUAGGACAGCAUGAGACUCAGUCUACCAAUUCCUCUGGCUCUAAAUCAUCUGUUUUCUUCUUCUUUCUCUUACUACCAGGAAGUAAUCCAAUUAUUGCUUAUGCAAAGGGAUGAGAAAUUUCAGGUUUUUCUUGAAUAUUCUCUGGAGAGCUGCAUUUUGGAAUUGUUAUAGUGAGUUUUUAGACCAUUAAUUUGGCUCAUUUUAUGUUGCUUUGGAGCUGCUGUUAUUUUUACAAUUUGUCUUAUCUUGGUGAAACUGUAAGUUCAUUGUAGUUGGAGGUCAUGCCUCUAUCUUUAUAGGACUGGAAGAUUGGAAGUGAACUUUACACUCAUCAAGUCCCGUUUCCUCUUUAAUAUUUGAAUUUCUACAAGCCAGCCUCUGCUUGAAAUACAGUUGGUGAUGGGGAUCUUACUACUUUAUAUUCUAACCUUUGAACGGCUCUAAGUAUGAGAAAGCUUUUCUAUUAUUGAAUUUAGAGUGGUCUCCCUGUGGCUUUUGUCCACUAGCCCAGUUUUAUUGACUGAGGGCAAUUCUUUUGUCUUGAGUGGGGUGUGGACACUUAAUGCAUAUUGUUGGAUAAUGACUUGUUCAGGCCUAGGUCGUGGGGUUCUCUGUGCCUUUGGCAAUUCCUCAUGCAGCAGAGUAGCCUUUAACUUCCGAGCUGUGGAAUAAACCUGGGGCAAGGUCCAAAGCUGCACUGCCAGAAAUUGCCUGAGCCAGGGUGAAGUAAAAUAGUCACUCCUCAUACGGACUUUAUCUUGCUUGAUUACAGGGGUUUACCAUUUCCUGCAUUUCCUUCUUACACCCAUCCUGACUUAAGCCUUAAAUCAAAUGCAGGAUGAAAAUUCGUGAUUACUCAUGAAUUUUCACUCAACAAGAUCAUUCAAUAGGAAUCUUUAAAAUGGUGUCAAUUUACAAAAUAUUUUUUUCUUUAGUCCUUACCUAAUGCAAAAUUUUAAAACUGGCAAAGUUGGACUUUGGUCCUUCUUUCCUAUCCCUCUUCCGGAACCUUUCCACCCUUCCUGUUUUAUGCUCCAUGGGUGAUCUGAUCUCCAGGGAUUCUCCCUUGCAGUAUCAUCUAUGCCUUAGACCAUACAUUUCCUCUUUCCUCUUCAAAACUUACCUGUUUCCACUGUCUUAUUCUUUCAGCAACUGGCUUUAUGCAAUGGGAACUUGGUUGCUAAUGGGUUUUUCUCCCCUUAACAAAUCCUUCAUAAUGUGUAAGAUAGCUCUUGCUUUAUCUGUCUACCUCAGUGUCAUAAUCUCUUAAUCUUGUCAAACACGUGUUUCCAGAUGGCCCUUAUGGAAUGGCUUUAUAGUGAGGAAGGAUAGGUAUCAUGAUAAGGUCAUGGAUGAGAAAAUGUUUUGGUCUGUGUGUCCCUCAGUACAAGUUCACAUCAUGCAUUUCCCUCAUUACAUCAUACUAGUCUCUAUAAACAACAAAACAGCUCUUAUUACAUGGGAUUAUUAAUUACAGCUACUUGCUAUGUUCCAGGUACUGUGUCCAGGGCUUAAUCGAUUUCUCAUUUAAUGUUCACAACAAUCCUGCCAUGUAGGAAGAAUUAUUCUCAUUUUACAGCAAACUGAAGUUCAGAGAGCAUAAGGGAAAUGGUUGUGCUUUAGUCAGGGGUAGGCUGAGGUGGCAUAGCAUGACUCAGCGGGUUUGGAGUGCAGGUGCACAACUCUGCACAUUAUGGAACCACGCCACAUGAGGCGCAUUAGGUGAUCACCCACAUGAGUUCCUGCUUGGCUCAGAGCCACUAUUGUCUGUAAAAGGUAUAACUACCCUGCUGUUGCUGUACAUACAGCUUGCGCCCAGGCUCACUCAUGCCCAGAGAGAGAGUAAAGCCAUGUCAAAACUGUUUAUGCUUCCUCGAGUGUUUUUCCAGCUACCUGCCACUUGCCCACCAACUCCCCUCGGACCUCAGUUAGAACCUAACAGAGAGGUUAGGUAAUUUGCUUAUCAUCACAUAGCUACUACAUUGCAGAGACAGGGUUCAAACCAAGUUCUGUCUGACUGAAGCCCAUGUGGCCUUCUUUUCUCUGAUCACCCGAAGAACAGAAAUCUAGGAUUAGUGAGAUUCCUUAGACAAGCCCUGCUUUGUCCACUUGCAAUGUAACCUUCCUACUUCAUCUAAGUGUGAAAAAACUACCACCUUCUUCUUCCCUGUUCUCUCAGCUUUCAUCUCUCCCAGUUUUCUAUGCUGAGAAAGGCUUUUUCUGGCUUCUACAUGCACAAGAAUAACAAAUAUCUGUUAUUGAAUUAUAAGAAUUUAUUAUGGAAUGGGAGGGGGAAUACUAAAAAAUCCCAUCUGGGGCCAAUUAAAAAGAACUGUGUUCCCAAGUGUACGUGGUUUUUCUUUUUUCAGGAGAAGAACAGCUUCAUCAACUCUUUGGUGCAGGAAGCAUGGCAUGGCUUCAGGGGAGCUGGGUGACUGAGAUAUCUCUGUACUAUUUCUCAGAAGGCAAGAUGGGUUCAUCACCUUUAAAUGACCAAGGCUCUACAGUGUCAGCCUUGGACCGAAGCAUUUGUAUCUGUGCCUAGAUUUGUCACAUUUUUUUAAAGGGCAUCCCCAUGAAAGUUUUUUGGAGGGACGGAGGGAAUAAAAAGAUGCCAAAAUGCUGCUUUCAGGAUAAACACAUCAGUUUGCAAAAAUUCAUAGAGUUUCCCAGGGUGGCCACCCACAGAGGAGGCAACAUCUGGUGGCCAUGCUGUCACAACAGGGAGAGCAGUGCUUGGGCACAGGACAAAACAAAACAUUCCUUAUAACUGGAUGGAAUACAUGUAGUUAGACUGGAGCCACGAGGCAACAGACCUCUGCAGGUCCAGAAAGUGCUGAGCUGAGAAAGUCACAGGACCCUAUGUGCAG
Molecule: long non-coding RNA, 4275 nt
Filed under: Homo sapiens (human)
Lineage: Eukaryota; Metazoa; Chordata; Mammalia; Primates; Hominidae
Description: HSALNT0173282
Source: RNAcentral